CUUGCAUUACAGAGUCAUCAUGCAUUUUUUUUAUCUGCAACGAGGACCUCAGUGGGGCUUUCAAAGGCUAUGUACAAACUUACAUGCAGGAGCUCAGGUAUGAAAAGGCACAUGCAGGAGAGAGAAACCAGGAAAUACUUCUUUUCAUUGGAGUACCCACCAACCAAUGCCAAGAAAGAGAUAACGUAUUUUUGAUGAAGUAUGAAGAAACAUACACCUCAGACCACAGAAGGGAAGGAGGAGGGAGGAUCUUACUGCUGCCUUCUGUUACCUAAGGUCUGGUGAAAAAGAUGAAGCCAUCUCUUUUUCUGGAGGGGCAAAGUGAAAAAACAAGAGGCAAUGGAUAAAAGCUGCAAAACCUAGAUAUUUCAAUCAGAUGUUGGGACUCUCGUAUACUGGAGACCCUUCAAACAGUGGAGCAAGUUGCGUGGAGACUGCAAUUUCCAUCCCUGCAGACAGUAAAAACUUGACUGAAGACAGUCCUGGGCAACCUGGACUAACUUUGAAGUUGGCCUUGCUUUUGUCUGGGCCUUGGACCAGGCGUCCCUUCCCACCUAAAUUAUUCUGUGGUUCUGUGAACAUUGAUGUAUGGAUGUAAAGCAAGAAAAAUGGAAAGCUGAUUUUGAGCAAAAUUAUUUUGUUUUUAUUUUUACUGUUGUGCUUUCAGUAGAAUAGAGAAGAUGGAGGUCAUUGUUUAUACUUGCUAUAUAAAUUUUCAAGACUGUGGGCAAGUGACCAAACUGAAAGGAAAAAAUUAUUCAUCAACAGGCCCAAAACUUUUGGCAACUGCUCUAUAAUCCAUUUGUUGGCUGUUUGUUUUUCUAUAGAUGUAGAUUAGUUUGCCUGAGCCAAAUAUCUUAGAAAUUAAUGCAUAAAUAUGUGUUUUAACCUGGUUGCCAGUAAAAGAAAAGUAAAAUGAAAUCAAUGCAUCAGGGAAGGAUUCAUUGAUGUGAGUAGCCUCAUCUUCAAAACAGCCAGUAAAAAGCAGAAAUAGCCCUAAUGUGUUUUAAUAGAGCAAAAGAGGUAUAAAUUGUGGUCCAUUUCUCUCUAUUAGAUCUUAUUUUUCUGUGUUAAUUUUUCAUGGACUUAUUCCAGAAGGUUUCUUGUGAACAUAGCUCAUACAAGAUGAGCCUGAAAGGAGACCCUCAGAACAGCUUCAGAAGUCUAUCUUCCUGUAUGCUCUUGCUAGUUUUCACUUACUUCCCUUUUCUGCUUCUCUGUGCAGAAUGUAAUGAUGUUUUCCCAGAAAAAUACUUGAUCAAGAAAUAAAACAUCAGCCUCACCAACUGAACACCUAUUAACGGUAUCUCUGCAUCUUGUAAUUUUUUUUUCUGUACUCUGGAGAAUGAAACCUGUCAGACACAGAUGUGCAUGGAAGUGGCUUGGCGAGAUGAUCGUGGGGGGAUGCUAACAGCUGCUGAGGUCAAAAGUGCAACAGCUUUGGAAGGGUGUAGCAGACACCUGGCUUUGUCUGAAGCCAGUGGGUCAAGGUCUCCCUUUUACGAGCGCGUCACCACUUUUACAUUGAUAUCUAUUGCCCAAAUGCUUGGAAGAAAGGUGACAUGUAUGUAUUAAUUGCAUCUUCAUUUUUUAAAGAACAGACCCUCACCCUCCUUAGAAAUUGAGCCCUUAUUCAGCAUUGCAUUCUUUUUGUCAGUAUAAAAGAUGCUGGGUGUAUUUGUGUUUAUCAGUGUAUUGACAUUGUAUUUGUCUUCAUGGAUAUCUGAUGAUUCUCAAAUUAAAGAAGACAGAAGAGGUAAUUCACGUCUCUAUUUCAAACACAAAUUAAGAUUAACACCAGACCAAUGAGGGAGGGAAUUUGAGUCUAAGCACAGGCAUAACAGUGGAAAUGUCUCCUGAGGACAUGGCCAUAUAUGAUCUAUGUUCAUGAAUCAGCUGAGGAGAUGACAGGAGCAUUGCAGAGGGAUCUGGGACUCCUAAGGUGGGAACACCAGAAAAAAAAGUACCCUGCCUGUCACUUCCACAUGCACUUCAGUAGGAUAGAAGAUCUACCUCUUUGUCCUUUGGCUCUGGAUGACUCACACAACAAUGAUGAAGGCUCCUUAGAUCUCUGUGCCAUCCUCCACCUCUCAUCAUGGGGGCUGAUCAGUGAAGAGAUGUGGACACUUGCAGUCUUCCUUUGGCUUCUGUAUGAUAGAACAGUACCUCAAAUGAUCUGGAGAAAGGUUAUGUCAAAGGUGCUCAGGAAGGAAAAGGAGCAGCCUUUGCUUGGACACUGUUAAAACACAAACCUUUGGUGACCUUGAUCAUUUUUUCAGCAAUGAACUGGGUCUAUAGACCUCAAAAAAAUCCCAGGAAAUACUUUCAGCACUGGUUGGAAAAGCUCAGGAUUAAAGAACCUUUCACAUCUGUUCCCUGUCACCAGCUUAAAUUUAACCUAUGACAGUAAUGAGUGAAAGUCCAUGUGCUGGUUGGCUUGUGUAAAGACUUUGUAGUCAUUUGUGUGCAUCACAAAUGGAGUUAAUUGACAGCUGUGUCAACAGCCUCUUUGAAGGAACCAGGAGUUCAUUAGGCACAUGGAUAGAGCUGGUCUUUCCCUGGUAAAAAAAAAAUACAAUAAAAAAAAAAUACCCCUUUUAUAUGCGGCACUUGAGAUGGAGUAGCAUGGGGAAACUUGCCAAGAUGCUGCCUGGUUUCUAGCCAUGACAGUAGUCACAUUGCUGAGGACCGCUCUAUUUUGGCGGCAGUCCCGCAGUUCGCCUGCCUCCCAAGCACAGAGGAGUGACAAGAAGCUGAGGGGUUUCUCCCUCACCAGCAUCUGGCACUUGCAGGACUGAGCUCUGCUUUCUCCUGUCUCUGGGCAAAGGCAGAACUGCCCACCUGAAUUCAAGGAGAAAAUCCUUAAAUCCUUUAAAAGAUUUCAUUGUAAGGCAUUUUUGCAUGGGCUCAUUGUUAAAUGAUUGCACAUAAAAAUGCAUUGAUGAAAGGCAUCUCUAUCUUUCUGUUUCCCCUUUGUGGAGUCUUUCCUUCAUAAAUAUAAUUACAGCUAUUCAGUGGUUAAAGUACUUACACCCUUUCCACACACUGUAAAAGUCCUUUCUGGAGCUGGUGCUUACUGGAAAGUGUGCUUAUUGAAAGUUUUGGAUUACUGAAGCUGUGCAUGUCAGCCCUGUCUCCCAUCCUUCCUCACUGAUGACUAUAUGGACUUAGUCUGGGAAAUUACUCAGUACCUUUGCUUAGAGAUUUAAAUCUUAUGUAGUCUUUUCAAGAAAGAGGUUGGUGAUUCCACCUGUAGUUGUAAAUCACCAGAUUCACACGUUGUUUGCAGAAUAACAUAAUCAAACAUUUUGCUAUGGGAAAAGGAAGACAAUGGCUGUACUGAAAGACACAAUGGGCAUCUGUUAGUGUAACAACAGGAGGGUUUUGUAUAAAUUGAGGAAUGCUUCCAUCUCAUUCCAUUAUGUUUCUAUGGGUUCUCAAGAAAACUACUUUCAUUUCUGUGCCUACAUCCUGUCCCAUGGAUUUCCUUGCUGUACCUUCUGCUGCUUCAGUGGAACUGGGCUACGGUGAGCCAUACAAAGUGGAUGAGGUUGCUGCAUGGUGUACCAAAGAGCUGGUCACAGACAACAAAAGAGUGCUUAGUAGGUAACAUUAGCACAUGUGUGUACAAGGCAGGAUAUAAAAGUCAAAGAAAGAGGAUUCAGUUUUAUA
Anas platyrhynchos (mallard) is the source of this 3672-nucleotide long non-coding RNA. RefSeq lists it as uncharacterized. NCBI's taxonomy places the organism in Eukaryota, Metazoa, Chordata, Aves, Anseriformes, Anatidae. The record is from RefSeq and is a predicted model, not a curated record.